AGAAUCAACGCUGGCGGCGUGCCUAACACAUGCAAGUCGAACGAGAAAGUGGAGCAAUCCAUGAGUAAAGUGGCGCACGGGUGAGUAACACGUGACUAACCUACCCUUGAGUGGGGGAUAACCUAGAGAAAUCUGGGCUAAUACCGCAUAAUACCUUCGGGUCAAAAGGAGCAAUUCGCUUAAGGAGGGGGUCGCGGCCGAUUAGUUAGUUGGCGGGUAAUGGCCCACAAGACUAUGAUCGGUA
This 244-nucleotide ribosomal RNA is filed under the name uncultured bacterium. RNAcentral describes it as "partial small subunit ribosomal RNA". It matches the Rfam family "Bacterial small subunit ribosomal RNA", at positions 26 to 285 of the family's 1533-position model. The record is from RNAcentral.